This is a long non-coding RNA of Mytilus californianus (California mussel), 1519 nucleotides long. RefSeq lists it as uncharacterized. The transcript is spliced from 4 exons. The record is from RefSeq and is a predicted model, not a curated record. NCBI's taxonomy places the organism in Eukaryota, Metazoa, Mollusca, Bivalvia, Mytilida, Mytilidae.
GCUGAAGCUAGCGAACAAUAACUAGCGAACAAUAAGCCAGCGAACAAUAAGGCGAUAUAUCUAAAAACCGAAAAAAUGAAUAAGACAGCAACGGCCGUUAAAUGAAAAAUAUUUAAACAGGCAGAAAUUCCGUCCAAAUAUUGCAAUUUCAACUCAAACAUGAAAUGGUAUUUAUCCCAUCCAUUGAUAAAACAAGCCACAUCUCUUUUUAGGCUAAUAUUCAGUACCACAGUAAAUCUGCAUCUGUCAACGGAUUAUUUGUAGGUGUAAAACCACCAAUGCACCCACUUCCAUUUAGAACGUAUGUAAAAGUAGUCCUUCCCUGUAAAAUACAGCACCUUUGAUGUCAUUGUUUAAUUGAACUAAGAUACACAUUUGCAGAAAUGGGGGUUGGCCUAUUCCAUGGCUUCUUGAGAAAAAUAAUGAGGGGUGUCACGGAUUAUGACUAUAUAGGUCUUGUAGAGGACAAACAGGCGCAUCUUUUGCGCAAGGUAUCGAAGGGCGCUAUGUUCAAAAAUCUGAAACUAGAGCUCAAAAUUUGAAAGAAAAUGUUAAAAACAGGGGGGUUGGCCUAUUCCAUGGCUUCUAGAGAAAAAUAAUGAGGAGUAUCACUGGGUAUGACUAUAUAGGUCUUCUAGAGGAGAAACAGACGCAUCUUUUGCGCAAGGUAUCGAAGGGCGCUAUGUUCAAAAAUCUGAAACUAGAGCUCAAAAUUUGAAAAAAAAUUGUUAAAAACAGGGGGUUGGCCUAUUCCUUGGCUUCUAGAGAAAAAUAAUGAGGAGUGUCACGGGGUAUGAUUAUAUAGGUCUUGUAGAGGAGAAACAGGCGCAUCUUUUGCGCAAGGUAUCGAAGGGCGCUAUGUUCAAAAAUCUGAAACUAGAGCUCAAAAUUUGAAAAAAAAGUGUUAAAAACAGGGGGGUUGGCCUAUUCCAUGGCUUCUACAGAAAAAUAAUGAGGAGUGUCACGGGGUAUGACUAUAUAGGUCUUCUAGAGGAGAAACAGGCGCAUCUUUUGCGCAAGGUAUCGAAGGGCGCUAUGUUCAAAAAUCUGAAACUAGAGCUCAAAAUUUGAAAAAAAAAUUGUUAAAAACAGGGGGUUGGCCUAUUCCAUGGCUUCUAGAGAAAAAUAAUGAGGAGUGUCACGGGGUAUGACUAUAUAGGUCUUGUAGAGGAGAAACAGGCGCAUCUUUUGCGCAAGGUAUCAAAGGGCGCUAUGUUCAAAAAUCUGAAACUAGAGCUCAAAAUUUGAAAAAGAUUUGUUAAAAACAGGGGGAAUGGCCUAUUCCAUGGUUUCUAGAGAAAAAAAAUGAGGGGUGUCACGGGGUAUGACUAUAUAGGUCUUGUAGAGGAGAAACAGGCGCAUCUUUUGCGCAAGGUAUCGAAGGGCGCUAUGUUCAAAAAUCUGAAACUAGAGCUCAAAAUUUGAAAGAAAAUGUUAAAAACAGGGGGGUUGGCCUAUUCCAUGGCUUCUAGAGAAAAAUAAUGAGGGGUGUCACGGGGGAUGACAAUAAAGGUCUUGU